UAGACCCGAAACCCGGUGAUCUAGCCAUGGGCAGGUUGAAGGUUGGGUAACACUAACUGGAGGACCGAACCGACUAAUGUUGAAAAAUUAGCGGAUGACUUGUGGCUGGGGGUGAAAGGCCAAUCAAACCGGGAGAUAGCUGGUUCUCCCCGAAAGCUAUUUAGGUAGCGCCUCGUGAAUUCAUCUCCGGGGGUAGAGCACUGUUUCGGCAAGGGGGUCAUCCCGACUUACCAACCCGAUGCAAACUGCGAAUACCGGAGAAUGUUAUCACGGGAGACACACGGCGGGUGCUAACGUCCGUCGUGAAGAGGGAAACAACCCAGACCGCCAGCUAAGGUCCCAAAGUCAUGGUUAAGU
RNAcentral lists this ribosomal RNA (357 nucleotides) under Escherichia coli. RNAcentral describes it as "partial 23S ribosomal RNA". It matches the Rfam family "Bacterial large subunit ribosomal RNA", at positions 710 to 1064 of the family's 2925-position model. The record is from RNAcentral. Lineage: Bacteria; Pseudomonadati; Pseudomonadota; Gammaproteobacteria; Enterobacterales; Enterobacteriaceae.